UACGAAGGGGGCUAGCGUUGUUCGGAUUUACUGGGCGUAAAGCGCACGUAGGCGGCUCGUUAAGUCGGGGGUGAAAUCCUGGGGCUCAACCCCAGAACUGCCUUCGAUACUGGCGAUCUCGAGUCCGGAAGAGGUGAGUGGAACUCCUAGUGUAGAGGUGGAAUUCGUAGAUAUUAGGAAGAACACCAGUGGCGAAGGCGGCUCACUGGCCCGAUACUGACGCUGAGGAGCGAAAGCGUGGGGAGCGAACAGG
Molecule: ribosomal RNA, 253 nt
Filed under: uncultured bacterium
Lineage: Bacteria
Description: partial 16S ribosomal RNA
Rfam family: Bacterial small subunit ribosomal RNA
Source: RNAcentral